Molecule: ribosomal RNA, 254 nt
Filed under: uncultured bacterium
Lineage: Bacteria
Description: partial 16S ribosomal RNA
Rfam family: Bacterial small subunit ribosomal RNA
Source: RNAcentral
UACGUAGGGGGCGAGCGUUGUCCGAAGUUACUGGGCGUAAAGCGCGCGUAGGCGGGGGGUUAAGUGAGAGGUGAAAGGCUGGGGCUCAACCUCAUGCAGUGCCUCUCAUAAUGGCCUUCUUGAGGGCGGUAGGGAGAAGUGGAAUGGCUGGUGUAGCGGUGAAAUGCGUAGAUAUCAGUCGGAACACCCGUGGCGAAGGCGGUUCUCUGGGACGGUACUGACGCUGAGACGCGAAAGCGUGGGGAGCGAACAGG